This 92-nucleotide transfer RNA is filed under the name Chloroflexota bacterium. RNAcentral describes it as "Chloroflexi bacterium tRNA-Ile". It matches the Rfam family "tRNA". From Rfam's summary of the family: Transfer RNA (tRNA) molecules are approximately 80 nucleotides in length. Their secondary structure includes four short double-helical elements and three loops (D, anti-codon, and T loops). Further hydrogen bonds mediate the characteristic L-shaped molecular structure. tRNAs have two regions of fundamental functional importance: the anti-codon, which is responsible for specific mRNA codon recognition, and the 3' end, to which the tRNAs corresponding amino acid is attached (by aminoacyl-tRNA synthetases). tRNAs cope with the degeneracy of the genetic code in two manners: having more than one tRNA (with a specific anti-codon) for a particular amino acid; and 'wobble' base-pairing, i.e. permitting non-standard base-pairing at the 3rd anti-codon position. The record is from RNAcentral. Lineage: Bacteria; Bacillati; Chloroflexota.
GGAGCCGUCGCAUAGCCAGGUUUAUUGCAGCCGAUUGAUAAUCGACCAGGGUGUUAGCAGCACCCUCGUGGGUUCAAAUCCCACCGGCUCCG